GUGCCAACACUUGUAAUUCAUAAGUUUUUCCAUAGUAAGAUGUUCAAAACUUUUUCCCUUUUUGGCUAUGUCUUCCACUGCAUGAAAAUUGUAACAAUUAACAAUUUCUAUGCAUAUCCGGAAAUCCCAAGUCCUUAGAUUUGCCCUUAUUGUUUUUAUUUUGUUUUCCACAAGAUAUUCCGUCAUUUGUUUUUCUUUUGAAGUCAUUCUUGCACAUUCACUUUUUUAUAUGGUUAUGCUUUGUUCUUUUGCGCUGCUUCUUUACUUUAAUAUCCUUCCCUUUUAUUCACUUUGUUAUGCAUGUCUAAUGUUUCCAAUUUAUGUUACUUGACUUCAGUAUAUACAUGGUUUGGCUG
RNAcentral lists this unclassified non-coding RNA (356 nucleotides) under Hevea brasiliensis (rubber tree). The record is from RNAcentral. Lineage: Eukaryota; Viridiplantae; Streptophyta; Magnoliopsida; Malpighiales; Euphorbiaceae.